CAACCCAAUCAGUUAUUGCCCAAUUUCUAGAAGCCCAAAACUUGAAGCCCUAUUAACCAUCUAUUAUAAGCUAUUUCAAACUUACAAACCUUAAUCCUACACCCCUAAUAGCCGCCUACCUCCUCUUUUCUCUUUUGGUGAAAGUUACCUCACCCCAUCAGCCAUGUCAGAACUUGCUAAUCCGAUUUCGUGUAAGAUUUUUUGAUAUCUAUAAAACAUCCUGACUUCUCUUAUUCUCAUCUUUGCUACAAGAUUCGAUCAACCCAAAAAUAGCAUAAAGAUCCAAGAAAAGAGUUCAUAAAAUCUGAUUUGCUGAGCAAAGGAGUUCAUGUGACGUGUCAGAUUUCAAACGACUCUUUAAAUUCUCGCUCAUGAAACCCUAGUUGUUUUCUCCUAAAAAUACUCCUAAAACCUUCAGCCGAAAACCAAGCUGGAAUUAUCAGAAAAAUCCAAAAAAAGAAAAAUUCAAUUUAUAUCUACUCUACUUUUCUUUUAAUCUCAAACUUUACAAUUUGUGAAUUUUUUUUCAAUAUUUAGUCUUUAUUUUUUUAUUCUCGAUAACUAAGGAGUAAUAGAUCUAAGACCUUAAAGUCCUAGUUCAUUGCCCCACAAAAGGUAAAUUUUACUCUAUUCUAUUUAUUUUUUGAUGUUAAACUACUACGUUUUAGAAAUAAUGCGUUAGGAUUUUUGUAUUACAGAAUGUUGGUGUAGAUUUGUUUCUACCGUGAAUCUUGAAUAGCA
This 741-nucleotide long non-coding RNA is filed under the name Nicotiana benthamiana. Its description in RNAcentral is "long non-coding RNA (NBEN_LNC015091)". The record is from RNAcentral. Lineage: Eukaryota; Viridiplantae; Streptophyta; Magnoliopsida; Solanales; Solanaceae.